GUUUUAAAAAAUUUAAUUACCGACCUACGAAAUUAUAUUUAUUUACAUAUAUAUAUAAUAAUUAUGUCCUAGUACAAAAGAUAGUCCACAUUUUGGUAUCUUCACGGAGGUCGAUGAACAUGGUGAACAUGUUGUUCUCGAGUCCGCCAAGGUUAUGAUGGUUACGGUGGUCGCGAUCCAUCUCUCUAUCUCUUCUCGAGUCCUCUGCUUUAGAUCUUGGUUAUUGUGAUAUGGAUUCAACAAUGCUGGCUUGCAUUGCGUUCUCCUGCCCCAAUCUGGAAACCAUGGAGAUCUCUAUGUCAGAGUCAUCAAUUAACCGUAUAUCUGGGUGGCUGUUGGAAGAUGUUAUCUAUAUGCAAGGCUGCUGCUGCCUCGCCAAGGCUCGCUGCUGCAGUUGCUGCCUCGCCACGUGUUACAUUGGUGAUUUUGUGUGACUUGUAUUUAACAGUGACUUGUAUUUUUUUUUUUUUUGGGACCAAAAUUGUAAUAUUACAGCCUUAUUUUAAUGAAAAUAUGUAAG
Chenopodium quinoa (quinoa) is the source of this 520-nucleotide long non-coding RNA. RefSeq lists it as uncharacterized. Lineage: Eukaryota; Viridiplantae; Streptophyta; Magnoliopsida; Caryophyllales; Amaranthaceae. The transcript is spliced from 4 exons. The record is from RefSeq and is a predicted model, not a curated record.